GACGAACGCUGGCGGCGUGCUUAAUACAUGCAAGUGGAGCGACGAACCAGGGCUUGCCCUGGGGCAGAGCCGCGAACGGGUGAGCAACACGUGGGUAACCUGCCUCGAUGACCGGGACAACCCGAGGAAACUCGGGCUAAUACCGGAUGUGCUCUCCUCACAUCAGUGGGAAGAGGAAAGGAAGCUUCGGCCUCCGCAUCGGGAUGGGCCCGCGGCCCAUUAGCUAGUUGGUGGGGAAUGGCCUACCAAGGCUUCGAUGGGUAGCUGUUCUGAGAGGAAGAUCAGCCACACUGGGACUGAGACACGGCCCAGACUCCUACGGGAGGCAGCAGUAGGGAAUCUUGCGCAAUGCGCGAAAGCGUGACGCAGCAACGCCGCGUGCGGGAAGACGGCCU
This 395-nucleotide ribosomal RNA is filed under the name uncultured bacterium. RNAcentral describes it as "bacterial SSU rRNA". It matches the Rfam family "Bacterial small subunit ribosomal RNA", at positions 28 to 417 of the family's 1533-position model. The record is from RNAcentral.